CUUCUGAUUACUGUUUGGUACAAUAUUUUUCAUUAGAAACAGAAGCAAGUAUGGCAGCCUGUGGAUUUCCCUCAGCUCCACGAUGCUGAGUUCUUCUGAAAGUGGAAGGGAGACUGCAAGAAGCCUUAGUAAAUCUAUCCGCUUUGCUGCGUGAAGAAAUUUAUCUUACAAUUUGUAGCAUCUUGAUAUGAAUGAGGUAUUCAAAUUGGUAUGGAAAGUGUAUCAAGCUAUUUAAGGUGGUACUUCAAUUUACUAGUUUCAGAGCUUUGAGGAUAGGUGCUAUUAUUUAGUAUCUAGAAAAAUAAGUACAAGAGGGCCUUGAUGUGCUAGUCCUCUAGGAGCAGACACAACAAAUAAUGGUAGUUAGGAGCAGUCUGUCAUUCUAACCUUGCUGUUACUGCUUAAGUUUAAAGUGAAAUGAAAGGAUUGUCUUGACAGUACUUACUGUGGUUAUGGAUUUUGUCGGUAGACAUUGUCCUUAUUAAAGAUACUGUUUGUGUCAAGCCCUGCCACAGCAGUUGCUGAAAACCCAAAACUUCUAGUGAAUGCAGGUGAACUUCAGGUGGUCCUUCAUGGCAAAGCCCUAUUCAUAUAGAUACAUGUAGUCCACACUGGGCAUAAGAUGAAUACCCAGUGGUAAUACCGUCAUUCUAAGGGAAAGCAAUGGCUAAACAAUAACAUCAAAGUGAAGGUGGAAACAUUGUAGCACAGUUCUUGUUGUUUUGUGUUGUUUUUUCUAAUAAAUUUUCCUGCUUUUUCCUUCAUAGGUUGGAUUGACCACCUAUUGCAUUUCUUACGCUUGACAUGCCUUUGUUCAUAUACAGAGUAGAGCAAGCAAGCUGCAUAUUUGACAGAUGUGGGAGCUGGAGCUUCUCUUUCUAGAUGAGAGCACCUCUCUCUUCCUCCACAGUGAGGAACAGAACAGUACUGAGCUGCUUAUGGGAUCAACUGCCAGUGCUUCUACUUUCCACUAACAGCAGCCUAUUUCAAUGGAUGGAAGCUUUGCAAAACUCUGGAAAAAGAAGUUAG
This 1029-nucleotide long non-coding RNA is filed under the name Coturnix japonica (Japanese quail). RNAcentral's name for it is "lncRNA (ENSCJPG00005002531.1)". The record is from RNAcentral. Lineage: Eukaryota; Metazoa; Chordata; Aves; Galliformes; Phasianidae.